AAGACUAUACUUUCAGGGAUCAUUUCUAUAGUUUGUAACUAGAGAAGUGUAGUUGAAAGUGUCUGACCUCGCUAACCACGAGGAGGAGUUAAAGUGUUCUCUUCUGAGCGCGAAGCGAGCAGACAGUGUUGCUUUAAUGCAGCUGCUGUCUGUUAUUGAUGACCGUUCCUUCUUCCNNNNNNNNNNCCUUUUGGGAAGCUGGGAGGGAGAGAACACAGACUGAGUGGU
Molecule: small nucleolar RNA, 228 nt
Filed under: Chelydra serpentina (North American snapping turtle)
Lineage: Eukaryota; Metazoa; Chordata; Testudines; Chelydridae
Description: Small nucleolar RNA U3 (ENSCSRG00000018717.1)
Rfam family: Small nucleolar RNA U3
About the family: Small nucleolar RNAs (snoRNAs) are involved in the processing and modification of rRNA in the nucleolus.
Source: Rfam by way of RNAcentral